ACGUAAAAGAACUUGUAAAUGCUUCCGGAUACAGGAACUUUAAUUAUGUUAUUAUAUUCAUGCAACAAAUAUGAGUCCAAGGUCUCCUGGUCUGUUAGAAUAGAAGUGGAACGUCAGCAGUGACAAGCAAACGUGCCGAGGUUAGGUUAUGUUUAAUAUGGAAGCAGUCCAAUGCAGAAGCCGUGCAUCGCGACAUUUUUUCAUCUCUGCGCUGUAAAGUUUUUAAACCUUUUGCAAGAAUUUCACGAGAUAAUUUUGUUAUCCUUGCAUUGUCGUGUCUCCAUUUCCUGUCAUCUAUUUGUUUUAAUUUUUAUUUAUUUAUAAUUUACUUAAAGAAGCUGUUAGUGCUUGAGACUACAUCGCGUCGAAUUUUUAAUGAAUAUCGAAUUGGGAAGGCUGUGGAAUGAAGCUAACCUAAGAUGCUAUCCGCGACAUUAAACCGCUGGGUUUUGAUGGUGAAUGACAACAUAUAUACCAGAAAACUCCACAGAGAGACUGUUAACAUUCCACUGCUGCUAGUCUAGAGAGAUCCGUGAGAAAAGAUGGGCUAUGGCAAUUCUAAUGGUGGCCGUUACUUUGUUGUUCUGCCUCCCAUGAUGGAGAUGUCUGGUGGCUUACUCCUUCAUGUGUAUGGUUCGGAGAACCUGAGGAAUUGGAACGUGAAUCCUAGUCCCAAGCGGAGUUCCAUUAUCAUCAACGAGCACCACAUUAUUGCUGUCAAAUUUAGGACUUAAUGCCGGCUGAUUCUGCUUAACACCAAC
Molecule: non-coding RNA, 761 nt
Organism: Zootermopsis nevadensis
Lineage: Eukaryota; Metazoa; Arthropoda; Insecta; Blattodea; Termopsidae
Source: RefSeq, a predicted model, not a curated record